AUGGGGAUCCUGCUCACCAGUGGCUGGACGGAUGCUCUCCGACGAAAACUGCUAGACAAGCUGCUCGCCACCAUGGCAUCGCACACAUGUUCCAGGCGUUCCAGCGGUCGCGACGCACAUCUGCGCUGCCUACAGCUCGUGCUCCUGCUCAUGGAGGAGCUCCGCGAGGCGUCCCAGCCCCGGCCCCUCACCGACAACGCUGAAUGCUGCCUUGCCCUCCUCAGCCGCACGUUCCAAAGCCGCCCGCCGACCAGGCCGUCGCCCCCGUCGGCGUCCACCGCGACCAUCCCGCGGCGUUGGAGCCCCCGACCUGCGUGUGGCGUCCCCGCCCCGCCUCGUUCAUCGCCUUGCUCUCCUCACCUGCGCCUUCCAACGGCCCGCCGAUCGGGCCAUUGCCCCUGUCGGCGCCCACCACGACCAUCCCGCGGCGCCGGAGCCCCCGUUGAUCCGCAGAUGCUCCUCUCCGACUGUGCCCCGCCUCCUUGA
This 486-nucleotide ribosomal RNA is filed under the name Triticum aestivum (bread wheat). Its description in RNAcentral is "partial small subunit ribosomal RNA". Lineage: Eukaryota; Viridiplantae; Streptophyta; Magnoliopsida; Poales; Poaceae. The record is from RNAcentral.